Molecule: small RNA, 77 nt
Filed under: Psychroflexus sediminis
Lineage: Bacteria; Pseudomonadati; Bacteroidota; Flavobacteriia; Flavobacteriales; Flavobacteriaceae
Description: Flavo-1 RNA
Rfam family: Flavo-1 RNA
Source: RNAcentral
CUGCGUUAGGGAUAGAAGUGGCAUACUUCUUGUACUACAUACAGUACAAGAAGAUACAGCGGAUAGCCUGCCUUUGU